CAAGUCUCCUAAGCUUGUCCUAGUUUAGGAAGCUAAAGCAUCUGAAUUUUAAUGGUAACAAUUUUGAUUUUCUGAGCAGAAGAAUUGUCAGCGUUGGAGAACUUGGGAGUUUUUGGAUCUGAGUUUUAAUCUUCCCACAAGAUCCCUCGAGCUUUUCCAGAUUUAGGAAACUAAAGCACCUGGAUCUAAGUUAUAACUAUUUUGACAAUGGAAUCUCGAGAUACUUGAAUCAUCUCCCUGCUAUUACAUCUCUAUCCUUGGCGUCUACUAACAUGGGAGGACCAUUUUCUAGCCAUGGUUUAUGUGCACUAAAGCAUCUUGAAGAAUUAGAUCUUAGUUGGAAUAUGUUUCAGGGGACCCUUCCAACAUGCCUAAAUAAUUUGACAUCCCUUUAAGAGUUUAGAUCUAUAUCACAACCAAUUUACAGGAAGCAUUUAUUCUUCUUUAAUAGCGGGCCUCACAUCCCUUGAGUACAUAGAUCUAAGUCAACCAUUUUGAGGGCUUUUUCUCGUUCAGCUCAUUUGCUAAUCACUCGCAAAUUUGAGGUUGAAGCUGAAGAUCCAUAUUGGGUUCCUUCAUUUCAGUUAAAGGUUCUUGUGCUAUCUAAUUGCAACUUGAAUAGGCUCACUGGUCAUGUAACUACGUUCCUCUUGAACCAGGUCAACUUGCUUAUGGUCGACUUGUCCUCACAAUAAUUUGAUAGGAAGCUUCCCUAGUUGGUUUCUUCAGAAUAAUAAUGGACUAGAAGAUUUAUAUCUAACAAAUAAUUGUUCACCAGUCAACUUCAACUAUGGCAUGUUCAUUCUAUACUUCACUUGGAUAUCUCAGGCAAAGGCUUUAAUGGACAACUUCAAGAAAAUAUUGGGAAGCUUGUUCCAUGCAUGGUGUAUCUUAAUAUGUCUAAUAAUGCUUUUGAGGGUAGUCUUCUGUCUUCAAUUGGUGACUUGAAUGAAUUGCAAGGAUUAGAUUUGGCCAAUAAUAAUUUUUCAGGAGAAGUCUCCCAGGAAUUGUUUGUAAAUUGUACGAAGAUCUACAUUCUAAACUUAAAUAACAAUAAGUUCUAUGGUGAGAUAUUCUCUCUCUAUUCAACUUAACUUGGAUAGUGUAUUUAAGUUUGAACAACAAUUCGAUCAAUGGAAUUCUACCAAAUAUAGUGUUACAACGUCCAGAUUUGAAGUUACUUGAUAUUGGCAACAAUUACAUGUCAGGUGAAAUUUUGAGAUGGAUGGAUAAUAUAACAAGCUUGGAUAUCCUUUUACUAAAUAAUAAUUUUUUUGAAGAUGAAAUUCCAUGUAUACUGGGUAGAAAUAAAUUCAGAGGUACAUUUAACUUUAUAGACCUAUCUCAUAACUCUCUUUCAGGCUCUUUACCUUCAUGUUUAAGACUAGAAAUGGUAAAACAAAUAAAUUUACAAGGAAAUAAUCUCAUUGAAUAAUUACCUAAAGGUCUUCUCAACUCCUCCAACCUAUUGACAUUGAACCUCAAAGAUAUUGGCUUUGUUGGCAACAUUCCUCACAUAAUUACAAUUUCGAACGUGCAGGUUAUGUUGUGAGGAGGAAAUUACUUUAGUGGUGUAAUUCCUAAUGCUCUAUGCCAAUUAAGAAAGAUAAACUUCAUGGACCUAUCCCACAACUUUUUUAGUGGGUCAAUUCCUCAUUGCCUCCACAAUAUCUCAUUCAGAAAUUUAGCGACUAAUGAGUAUAUCUUUAGAUUUCAAAGUACUAUGAACAGAAUUUGGGGUUUUCCAUACUAUGGAAACAAAAGCAUCCAAUAUAGUUGGUUUCACCAUCAAGUUUUUUAUGAUUUACAAGACAAAGUCGAGUUUAUUGCCAAAAAUAGACUCAAUUCCUUUAAGGGAAACAUUCUCAAUUACAUGUUAGCAUUAGAUUUAUCCUGCAACAACUUAACAGGUAACAUCUCAAGGGAACUAGGAUUUCUAUCGUGGAUUCAUGCAUUGAAUUUGUCUCACAAUCAACUCACAUGUUCUAUUCCUAUAACAUUCUCAAACCUUAAUAAGAUAGAGAACUGGAAUCUUUCCCACAAUAACUUCAUUGGAAAAAUUCCCUCAAAACUGAAUAAACUUUACUUUCUGGGAGCAUUCAGCGUUGCAUAUAACAAUUUGUCAGGAAAAAUUCCUGAUAGUCUGGGACAUGGGACGACAUUUGCAAAAAGUAGCUUUUAAAGAAAUAAAUUUUUAUGUGGAUUUCUAUUGAAGAAGAAGUGCCGAGGCGAGGAUGAUAGGAAUCACAUAACCACAUCUUCAUCAAAUCAAAGUGAAGAAAAAUGGCAAAAGAUUGAUUGAUUAGUCUUCUUUGUAAGUUUUUCAGUAGCUUUUAUUAUAUUCUUCUAUGGAGUUGUUUCUGUUCUUUAUAUUAAUCUCU
Long non-coding RNA from Carica papaya (papaya), 2381 nucleotides. RefSeq lists it as uncharacterized. The record is from RefSeq and is a predicted model, not a curated record. Lineage: Eukaryota; Viridiplantae; Streptophyta; Magnoliopsida; Brassicales; Caricaceae.